CCUACGGGUGGCAGCAGUAGGGAAUAUUUCACAAUGGGCGAAACCCUGAUGCAGCGACGCCGCGUGAACGAUGAAGGAUUUCGGUAUGUAAAGCUCUAUCAUCAGGGACGAAAAAAGACGGUACCUGACUAAAAAGCCCCGGCUAACUACGUGCCAGCAGCCGCGUUAAUACGUAGGGGGCAAGUGUUAUCCGGAUUUACUGGGUGUAAAGGGGGCGUAGACGGCAAGGCAAGCGAGAAGUGAAAGGGCAGGGCUCAACCCUGUACAUGCUUGUGGAACUUCGGGGCUAGAGUGCAGUAGAGGUAAGUGGAAUUCCUAGUGUAGGGGUGAAAUGCGUAGAUAUUAGGAGGAACACCAGUGGCGAAGGCGGCUUACUGGACUGUAACUGACGCUGAGGCUCGAAAGCGUGGGGAGCAAACAGGAUUAGAUACCCAAGUAGUC
Molecule: ribosomal RNA, 441 nt
Filed under: uncultured bacterium
Lineage: Bacteria
Description: partial 16S ribosomal RNA
Rfam family: Bacterial small subunit ribosomal RNA
Source: RNAcentral